Molecule: ribosomal RNA, 282 nt
Filed under: uncultured bacterium
Lineage: Bacteria
Description: partial 16S ribosomal RNA
Rfam family: Bacterial small subunit ribosomal RNA
Source: RNAcentral
AUGCAAGUUGAACGGUAACAGAUCUUCGGAUGCUGACGAGUGGCGAACGGGUGCGUAACGCGUAUACAACCUACCUCUAACUGGGGAAUAGCCCGGGGAAACUCGGAUUAAUACCCCAUAACAUUAUGGAAUCGCAUGAUUUUAUAAUUAAAACUCCGGUGGUUAGAGAUGGGCAUGCGUCCUAUUAGCUAGUUGGUGAGGUAACGGCUCACCAAGGCUACGAUAGGUAGGGGUCUGAGAGGAUUAUCCCCCACACUGGUACUGAGACACGGACCAGACUCC